GUCGAGCGAACUGAUUAGAAGCUUGCUUCUAUGACGUUAGCGGCGGACGGGUGAGUAACACGUGGGCAACCUGCCUGUAAGACUGGGAUAACUUCGGGAAACCGAAGCUAAUACCGGAUAGGAUCUUCUCCUUCAUGGGAGAUGAUUGAAAGAUGGUUUCGGCUAUCACUUACAGAUGGGCCCGCGGUGCAUUAGCUAGUUGGUGAGGUAACGGCUCACCAAGGCAACGAUGCAUAGCCGACCUGAGAGGGUGAUCGGCCACACUGGGACUGAGACACGGCCCAGACUCCUACGGGAGGCAGCAGUAGGGAAUCUUCCGCAAUGGACGAAAGUCUGACGGAGCAACGCCGCGUGAGUGAUGAAGGCUUUCGGGUCGUAAAACUCUGUUGUUAGGGAAGAACAAGUACAAGAGUAACUGCUUGUACCUUGACGGUACCUAACCAGAAAGCCACGGCUAACUACGUGCCAGCAGCCGCGGUAAUACGUAGGUGGCAAGCGUUAUCCGGAAUUAUUGGGCGUAAAGCGCGCGCAGGCGGUUUCUUAAGUCUGAUGUGAAAGCCCACGGCUCAACCGUGGAGGGUCAUUGGAAACUGGGGAACUUGAGUGCAGAAGAGAAAAGCGGAAUUCCACGUGUAGCGGUGAAAUGCGUAGAGAUGUGGAGGAACACUAGUGGCGAAGGCGGC
RNAcentral lists this ribosomal RNA (683 nucleotides) under Priestia megaterium. RNAcentral's name for it is "bacterial SSU rRNA". It matches the Rfam family "Bacterial small subunit ribosomal RNA", at positions 61 to 725 of the family's 1533-position model. The record is from RNAcentral. Lineage: Bacteria; Bacillati; Bacillota; Bacilli; Caryophanales; Bacillaceae.